UCAAAAUAUUAAUAAGUUACUUAUAGACUGAGUAUAUUUUUUUAAAGUGCAGAUGAGUAAUACAAUAAAUGCUGUUGGCUUCUGAAAAAAUUAACACAUAGUGAAAUAACAGAAAACCCUUAUGUAUGGAUAAUUUUAACAGCACUAUUUGAAGGAAUAUCACAGUUCCCCUAGUUUGCUGAUCUUCUGACCCUGCCUCUGAUGUGAAACUAGUGUCUGUUCUGUACUCUGCAUAUAUACAAUGUUUGCUCUUAAACUUCUGUUGCUUGUGACUGUUGACCUGGAAAAGGAAUAUAUCUGCCAAGAAGGAUUUCCCAUGGUAACUGGGCCCCAAUUCCUAACCAGAGUCUAACAGCUAUUGCUGACAGAGACCUCUCAAGCACACUGCCUGUCCAGGAAAACCCACUGACUGAACAGCCAAGCCUUCUGCACUGUGUUCCUGCAGUCUCAGCCCACCUUAGAAAGGAGUUCCUGGAAUUCUAUUUCAACCAAUGGGCUGAGACCUGCCCUGUCCAAUUGGAGCUGAGCAGCUGCACCUUCAUUUGCAUCUUUAUAGACCAAGUAGAGUAGCUCCAUAACAGUCAAUCAGGAUACACAAUUUCAGCCACUCAGAAUAGUGCUAUUCAGACAAAUAAACAAGGCAAAUUUGGAUUCUUCAUUUGCAUAAAAAUGGACCAAUCAGGGACCAUUUUAAUGCAAAUGGUCCAUGCAGGGCAGGUACCUUAUAUAAGUGGGCCUCCCCUAUAUCCGAGGAGCACACAUUCAGUUCCCACCUGAGACUGCAUUUCUCUGGUUUGCAAACUGUCCACCUGAAUAAAGUUUUUCCAUUUACUCCGCUUCAGACUGAGGACUCCUGUUGGCAUUGGCUUGGUGGCAGCAAUCUUUUUAUUGACAUGACUAUUACUUUAUUCAAGGGUUUUUUUUAUGUAUGCCUUUCAUGAUGAUCAUGUAGGUAAAAACCAAUCAACAAAUGCAUAUUGACUGCUUGGGAUGUGCGAGACAUUCUGUUACAGCCUGUAAAGGCAGUCCUGGCAAGUGUGAAAGUUGGGAUAUGGAAAUAAAACACUCCUGCAAACCAAUCAAGAAAGUCAGGCACUCAAGAAGCUAGGUUACUUGAUGAGAGUUCCAGAAGAAGGUUCUAGAUAUAUGCUCCACCCUAUAAAAUUAGAAUUCAUAUUUUAGCAAGCUACAUACUUGCAACUACAGUACCACACGAAUAUUUACAUAAUUGGAAAUCAUGAGGUAAUUCUUCAUCUUUUCCUUAGUAUUUUUCUCUCUCACUGUUGGUAGAUUUGAGAGUGAUAUAAUCUGAAUAUUGACAAAUCUUAUUCACUCUAUCGAAUAGGAUGCACAAAAGAAGAAAUUCAGUUGGUAAGCAAACUUGGAAGAAUGUUCAUUCCCUUGAAUAAUCAAAAACAUACAAGUUAUAACAGUAAGAUAAAAUUUCCAUUUAUUAGUAAAGUUUUAAAAAUUGAAAUGCUAGUUAGGAGUUGAGAAAGUGGUACUUCAGACAUUACCACCAUCAAAUAGGCAAGAAAAAUAAAAUGUUAACCUUUAAAUAAAUUAUUCCAUUUCUUGGAAUCCAUCUAAGAAAAUUAGCAGAAAAUGUGAAUAAGAAAAAAAUAGUAAGAUGAUAAUAGAGGUUUUGUUGAAAUGGUGAAAUUAUGGGUAAUUUUUGUCUUCUAAAUUUUUGGAAUUUGCGAUCUUUUUACUUUUAAAAUUCAAAAACUCUAAAUUAAAAAGAAAAACAUUAAGAUUGCUUUUGUGAAAGAUCACCUUGUGAGCCUUAUUAGUAAAUAAUGUGCUCAG
Long non-coding RNA from Phyllostomus discolor (pale spear-nosed bat), 1809 nucleotides. RefSeq lists it as uncharacterized. The record is from RefSeq and is a predicted model, not a curated record. The transcript has 2 exons. NCBI's taxonomy places the organism in Eukaryota, Metazoa, Chordata, Mammalia, Chiroptera, Phyllostomidae.